This 243-nucleotide ribosomal RNA is filed under the name uncultured bacterium. Its description in RNAcentral is "partial 16S ribosomal RNA". It matches the Rfam family "Bacterial small subunit ribosomal RNA", at positions 524 to 767 of the family's 1533-position model. The record is from RNAcentral.
UACGAAGGUCCCAAGCGUUAUCCGGAUUUAUUGGGUUUAAAGGGUGCGUAGGCGGCCUAUUAAGUCAGUGGUGAAAGCUCCAUGCUUAACGUGGAAUUGCCAUUGAUACUGAUGGCUUGAGUAUAUUUGAAGUGGGCGGAAUGUGUCGUGUAGCGGUGAAAUGCUUAGAUAAUGACACAGAACACCGAUUGCGUAGGCAGCUCACUAAACUAUAACUGACGCUGAGGCACGAAAGCAAUGGGG